Molecule: unclassified non-coding RNA, 1496 nt
Filed under: Hevea brasiliensis (rubber tree)
Lineage: Eukaryota; Viridiplantae; Streptophyta; Magnoliopsida; Malpighiales; Euphorbiaceae
Source: RNAcentral
CAAAGAGAAUUUUAUCAAAAUGGUUCACUGUACAUGUAAAGAAACACACCUAUACAAGUGUAAAAUUGUUGCUGAACAUGUGAAAACAUAUGUACAAAACCUAUCCUGCAUUCCAUGUGGUGCUGUCCGCAACCAUGGGCACCAAACAGAAACAAUCAUUUAGACUGGAAAGCAAGCAUCUUUAACACUGUGUUUACCAGCGGCAAAUUCCAGGUGUCUCUGUUCGCAAAAUCGAAACCAUCUCUUCAUACUUGGAAGCAUAUACAAAGCCCCAUAACUCAACUUCCUUAACUUCAAAGUCUUCAGUAUGUGCCAAACAAGAAUUUCCAUAAGUUUCUGAUGUUGCACUUGAACCUGUUAGCAGAUCCCCGUCUAAGUAGAGAGCAAAAUGGCCACCGCCUCCCAAAGCUAAAUACUCCGUGGAACAGACAGUAAAAUAGCGAUUGACACCUGUGGGACGAAAUAUGACAGGUUGGCCAGAUACAUUUGAGAAAACAAAUGAAUUGUUUGUACCCUGAUAUCUUCUCUUUGUUGUUGGCUUUAAAGGUGCAUCAACUAGCCCACCAAACACAGCACCAUUAUGGUCCCCCACAACCAGCAGACUGAUGCCAGGCCAGAGUAGGCUUCUCCUGUAUAAAGUCGAGAGUGAUAUUCCAUUCUUCCAUGUACUGUAUAACAAGACCCACUUCCUGUCCUGCACAAGCACAGGCAGUGCAGCAUAAAGAGAAAUUCGUGCCUUCUCAGUGAGGAGAACUGAAGGCUCAGAAGUUCCCGGAAGAUUGUUCAGAAGAGGUUUCUUAUUCAUAUCUUCCAAAGGUAUUUGAUUAUCUCCGGAAACUUUAGAAUUACUUCCAUCAUCAAACACCAUAUCAGAGCUGCCCUUUGCCGAACCCUGAUUCCUAAAGCCGCCUAGUCUAGCAACUUGGUGAAGAGCUCUGCCGAGGGAAUGUUUACCCCUGGAAAGUAUACCUUUUCUUCUGCUAGGUUCCCUCAUUGUAAGUUCAGGUAUUGACUCAUCACGAUCAUCUUGCUUAUCAUAUUUUCCAAUAGUGUUAGGCUUACUCUCGGAUCCUGUGGUCGACAACAGUGAAUAUAGGAACGCUGAGAAAGAAGAUGUAUCAGGACCGUCAACUAAAUCAGUGGCAUCUCCCUCUGCAUUUGACUCAUGCUUACUUCCGUCAGAAUCAGAUCCAUCUUCAGGCAAAGGUGGUGGUCUGGGCUUUAAGGGUUUAUCAGAUAUGGGGUUAAGAAUAACAGUAGCAACAUCCGAUACAAAGUGCGCAGCUUUACUCCUUAAAGAACGGUUCUUCCUCUGCUGCUGCUGCUGCUCCUGAUGAUUAUGAUUAUGAAGAAGAUUCUCUUCAAAUUGCUGUUGAUUUUCACUACCCAUUACUUCUAAAAAGCUAUAAGUAGUAUUCUCCUUUAUGACAACAACAAAUUCCACUACUUUUUUGGGGUUUGUGAUGCUCUAAAACGCCAUUAAUGGUGAAAAAGAG